Molecule: ribosomal RNA, 169 nt
Filed under: uncultured bacterium
Lineage: Bacteria
Description: partial 16S ribosomal RNA
Rfam family: Bacterial small subunit ribosomal RNA
Source: RNAcentral
CCUACGGGAGGCAGCAGUGGGGAAUAUUGGACAAUGGGGACAACCCUGAUCCAGCCAUGCCGCGUGAGUGAAGAAGGCCCUAAGGUUGUAAAGCUCUUUCGCCAGGGAAGAUAAUGACGGUACCUGGUAAAGAAGUCCCGGCUAACUCCAUGCCAGCAGCCGCGGUAAU